UACGUAGGGUGCGAGCGUUGUCCGGAAUUAUUGGGCGUAAAGGGCUCGUAGGCGGUCUGUUGCGUCGGGAGUGAAAACUCAGGGCUUAACCCUGAGCCUGCUUCCGAUACGGGCAGACUAGAGGUAUGCAGGGGAGAACGGAAUUCCUGGUGUAGCGGUGAAAUGCGCAGAUAUCAGGAGGAACACCCGUGGCGAAGGCGGCUCUCUGGGACGGUACUGACGCUGAGACGCGAAAGCGUGGGGAGCGAACAGG
This 253-nucleotide ribosomal RNA is filed under the name uncultured bacterium. Its description in RNAcentral is "partial 16S ribosomal RNA". It matches the Rfam family "Bacterial small subunit ribosomal RNA", at positions 524 to 776 of the family's 1533-position model. The record is from RNAcentral.